GGGCCCGUAGCUUAGUCAGGUAGAGUACCGGGCUUUUAACCCGGGGGUCCCGGGUUCAAUUCCCGGCGGGCCCG
RNAcentral lists this transfer RNA (74 nucleotides) under Candidatus Bathyarchaeota archaeon. RNAcentral's name for it is "tRNA-Lys". It matches the Rfam family "tRNA". Rfam says of the family: Transfer RNA (tRNA) molecules are approximately 80 nucleotides in length. Their secondary structure includes four short double-helical elements and three loops (D, anti-codon, and T loops). Further hydrogen bonds mediate the characteristic L-shaped molecular structure. tRNAs have two regions of fundamental functional importance: the anti-codon, which is responsible for specific mRNA codon recognition, and the 3' end, to which the tRNAs corresponding amino acid is attached (by aminoacyl-tRNA synthetases). tRNAs cope with the degeneracy of the genetic code in two manners: having more than one tRNA (with a specific anti-codon) for a particular amino acid; and 'wobble' base-pairing, i.e. permitting non-standard base-pairing at the 3rd anti-codon position. Lineage: Archaea; Thermoproteati; Candidatus Bathyarchaeota. RNAcentral also lists the same sequence under 1 other name. The record is from RNAcentral.